RNAcentral lists this ribosomal RNA (174 nucleotides) under uncultured bacterium. RNAcentral describes it as "partial 16S ribosomal RNA". It matches the Rfam family "Bacterial small subunit ribosomal RNA", at positions 337 to 508 of the family's 1533-position model. The record is from RNAcentral.
UCCUACGGGAGGCAGCAGUGAGGAAUAUUGGUCAAUGGGCGAGAGCCUGAACCAGCCAAGUAGCGUGCAGGAAGACGGCCCUAUGGGUUGUAAACUGCUUUUAUAUGGGGAUAAAGUGAGUUACGUGUAGCUUAUUGCAGGUACCAUAUGAAUAAGGACCGGCUAAUUCCGUGC